This 377-nucleotide ribosomal RNA is filed under the name uncultured bacterium. Its description in RNAcentral is "bacterial SSU rRNA". It matches the Rfam family "Bacterial small subunit ribosomal RNA", at positions 790 to 1167 of the family's 1533-position model. The record is from RNAcentral.
GUAGUCCACGACGUAAACGAUGAGUGCUAAGUGUUGGGGGCUUUCCGGCCCUCGGUGCUGGAGCUAACGUAUUAAGCACUCCGCCUGGGGAUUACGACCGCAAGGUUGAAACUCAAAAGAAUUGACGGGGACCCGCACAAGCGGUGGAGCAUGUGGUUUAAUUCGAAGCAACGCGAAGAACCUUACCAGCUCUUGACAUCUUCUGACAACUCUAGAGAUAGAGCGUUCCCUUCGGGGACAGAAUGACAGGUGGUGCAUGGUUGUCGUCAGCUCGUGUCGUGAGAUGUUGGGUUAAGUCCCGUAACGAGCGCAACCCUUGUUGUUAGUUGCCAGCAUUAAGUUGGGCACUUUAACGAGACUGCCGGUGAUAAACCGGA